CCGGCGCACGGGUGAGUAACACGUAUCCAACCUGCCGUCUACUCUUGGACAGCCUUCUGAAAGGAAGAUUAAUACAAGAUGGCAUCAUGAGUCCGCAUGUUCACAUGAUUAAAGGUAUUCCGGUAGACGAUGGGGAUGCGUUCCAUUAGAUAGUAGGCGGGGUAACGGCCCACCUAGUCUUCGAUGGAUAGGGGUUCUGAGAGGAAGGUCCCCCACAUUGGAACUGAGACACGGCCCAAACUCCUAGGGAGGCAGCAUG
RNAcentral lists this ribosomal RNA (259 nucleotides) under uncultured bacterium. RNAcentral's name for it is "partial 16S ribosomal RNA". It matches the Rfam family "Bacterial small subunit ribosomal RNA", at positions 95 to 353 of the family's 1533-position model. The record is from RNAcentral.